AGUGAACGCUGGCGGCAGGCCUAACACAUGCAAGUCGAGCGGAUGAAGGGAGCUUGCUCCUGGAUUCAGCGGCGGACGGGUGAGUAAUGCCUAGGAAUCUGCCUGGUAGUGGGGGAUAACGUCCGGAAACGGGCGCUAAUACCGCAUACGUCCUGAGGGAGAAAGGGGGGGAUCUUCGGACCUCACGCUAUCAGAUGAGCCUAGGUCGGAUUAGCUAGUUGGUGGGGUAAAGGCCUACCAAGGCGACGAUCCGUAACUGGUCUGAGAGGAUGAUCAGUCACACUGGAACUGAGACACGGUCCAGACUCCUACGGGAGGCAGCAGUGGGGAAUAUUGGACAAUGGGCGAAAGCCUGAUCCAGCCAUGCCGCGUGUGUGAAGAAGGUCUUCGGAUUGUAAAGCCCUUUUAGUUGGGAGGAAGGGCAGUAAGUUAAUACCUUGCUGUUUUGACGUUACCAACAGAAUAAGCACCGGCUAACUUCGUG
Molecule: ribosomal RNA, 484 nt
Filed under: uncultured bacterium
Lineage: Bacteria
Description: partial 16S ribosomal RNA
Rfam family: Bacterial small subunit ribosomal RNA
Source: RNAcentral